UACGGGGGGGGCAAGCGUUGUUCGGAAUUACUGGGCGUAAAGGGCGCGUAGGCGGUUUGGUAAGUUGGAUGUGAAAACUCUGGGCUUAACCCAGAGCCUGCAUCCAAAACUGGCAAGCUGGAGUUUUGGAGGGGGAAGCGGAAUUCCUGGUGUAGCAGUGAAAUGCGUAGAUAUCAGGAGGAACACCGGUGGCGAAGGCGGCUUCCUGGACAAAAACUGACGCUGAGGCGCGAAAGCUAGGGGAGCAAACAGG
Molecule: ribosomal RNA, 253 nt
Filed under: uncultured bacterium
Lineage: Bacteria
Description: partial 16S ribosomal RNA
Rfam family: Bacterial small subunit ribosomal RNA
Source: RNAcentral